GACCUGGCCUUAGACACUCGUGCGGGCGUUUGCCUCGGAUCCCCCUACCGUCUGGGGGCCUUAGGCGGCGGGGGGGGCUCCUGCCUGGCCGUCCUAGGAGGUAAGGGGAGAGCGGAGGGGAGUCGGGAAGAUAGCGGUAACCUGAUCGCACUGGCGGGAAGUCCUGCAACCAGUGCUGGUGGCCAGACCCGGCUCGGUGCCCCGAUCCCGCCUGUCCCCGACCCCGCCCCGCCCCGCCCCCCAUUCGUUAACGACUCCUCUUCCGUGGGUCUUCUCGGCCCCGGGAAUUAUUCCCUGGCCUGGGCCCUGGCGCUGCUCAUCGCUCCAGGAGGGUGGACAGGUGCAGGGGCGGAUGGAGGCGCAGGUGUGCACCUAGGCAGCUCAGGGCUCAUUCAUCGUCCCCAACCAGGCACCUCUGCGCCAGCGCACUGGGUCCCAGGGCGGCGGGCGCGGCCCGUUAGAGUCGAGACUCCAGGUGACGGAGACCGUGACCACGGCGAGCAGGUAGCCCCGGAGAGCUGCGCGGGGAGGGAGGGGAGCGCGGGAGGCCGAGACCACUCCCUCCUACUUCCCCGACGUUAUUUCCUGGGAGGAGUCGGAGCGCGCGGGCGGCCGAGCAGAUCCCCAGAGCCCGCUCGGGAGUCGGCGGCGUCGGGGCGGGUGGUCCCCGCGCGCUCGCCAGGCCGCCCCCACCCAGAGCCGUGGCCCUGGACCGCAUCGGGCCUGCUACGACCUCUAAAGGCGUCCGCGAGCGUUCUCUCACGUCGGCUCGUUGGUCUAGGGGUCCGGGCCCAGGGGGCCGGGGCUGCGGAUGACAGGGAGCGGAACGGGCCGGGACCCACCACGACCCGGCCUCCGUGGGCUUGGGGGCAGUCCAGGGCGAGCGGGGGGUCUCCGGCUGUCUCUUCCCAAGCGGCAGGAAGGGUGCAAGCCCCGGCCGAUCGCGGCCACAGCUCCAGAUCUCCGAGCCGGAGAGCGCCUCCUUCAGCUCCCUCCUCGUUAGUAUAG
This 1008-nucleotide long non-coding RNA is filed under the name Canis lupus dingo (dingo). Its description in RNAcentral is "lncRNA (ENSCAFG00020007086.1)". The record is from RNAcentral. Lineage: Eukaryota; Metazoa; Chordata; Mammalia; Carnivora; Canidae.